AUUGGGCGUAAGCGAGCGCAGGCGGUUAUUUAAGUCUGAUGUGAAAGCCUUCGGCUUAACCGAAGAAGUGCAUCGGAAACUGGGUAACUUGAGUGCAGAAGAGGACAGUGGAACUCCAUGUGUAGCGGUGGAAUGCGUAGAUAUAUGGAAGAACACCAGUGGCGAAGGCGGCUGUCUAGUCUGUAACUGACGCUGAGGCUCGAAAGCAUGGGUAGCGAACAGGAUUAGAUACCCUGGUAGUCCAUGCCGUAAACGAUGAGUGCUAAGUGUUGGAGGGUUUCCGCCCUUCAGUGCUGCAGCUAACGCAUUAAGCACUCCGCCUGGGGAGUACGACCGCAAGGUUGAAACUCAAAGGAAUUGACGGGGGCCCGCACAAGCGGUGGAGCAUGUGGUUUAAUUCGAAGCUACGCGAAGAACCUUACCAGGUCUUGACAUCUUCUGCCAAUCUUAGAGAUAAGACGUUCCCUUCGGGGACAGAAUGACAGGUGGUGCAUGGUUGUCGUCAGCUCGUGUCGUGAGAUGUUGGGUUAAGUCCCGCAACGAGCGCAACCCUUAUUAUCAGUUGCCAGCAUUCAGUUGGGCACUCUGGUGAGACUGCCGGUGACAAACCGGAGGAAGGUGGGGAUGACGUCAAAUCAUCAUGCCCCUUAUGACCUGGGCUACACACGUGCUACAAUGGACGGUACAACGAGUUGCGAAGUCGUGAGGCCAAGCUAAUCUCUUAAAGCCGUUCUCAGUUCGGAUUGUAGGCUGCAACUCGCCUACAUGAAGUUGGAAUCGCUAGUAAUCGCGGAUCAGCAUGCCGCGGUGAAUACGUUCCCGGGCCUUGUACACACCGCCCGUCACACCAUGAGAGUUUGUAACACCCAAAGCCGGUGGGGUAACCUUCGGGAGCCAGCCGUCUAAG
This 907-nucleotide ribosomal RNA is filed under the name Levilactobacillus zymae. RNAcentral's name for it is "bacterial SSU rRNA". It matches the Rfam family "Bacterial small subunit ribosomal RNA", at positions 553 to 1461 of the family's 1533-position model. Lineage: Bacteria; Bacillati; Bacillota; Bacilli; Lactobacillales; Lactobacillaceae. The record is from RNAcentral.